UGAGAGACUGUUUAUCAUAAUAGGACGCUCCAGGAUCUCACUGGCAGUUGGUCUUGAUUGAGGAUCUUUAUUUAUUAUAUCAUUCAACAGAUCACGAAGCUCUGGUGAGAACUUGUCUGGGAGAGAUGGGUAGCCACCAAGUAUCUUUGGUAUGAGCUUGAUCGGAGUCUCAGCUCUUGGUGUGCAGAAAUCUCUGUGAGCAUCUCCCUUUUUCUCGUAGCAGUCAGCCUUUGCAGCGGCUGCAGCACUACAGCAGUCACAGAUCACCUCCAGUAAUACCAGCAACAACUACAGUAGCAGCAGCAGCAGCAUCCCCAGCAAUCCCUCAACAGCAACUGCUCCCUCAUUUGUCAACACCCACGCAUUCGUAUUUGUGGUCGUGGGAUCUCAGCUUGCAUUUACGACAGGUCACAUCACAGGUGUUGUGGUGGCAGCCCGGCUGACGGUGAGUGUCCUGGUUUUUCCUCCUUUUUAUCAGUUUUCUGCUUUUUCCCUUGGUUUCCUG
Long non-coding RNA from Micropterus dolomieu (smallmouth bass), 505 nucleotides. RefSeq lists it as uncharacterized. NCBI's taxonomy places the organism in Eukaryota, Metazoa, Chordata, Actinopteri, Centrarchiformes, Centrarchidae. The transcript has 4 exons. The record is from RefSeq and is a predicted model, not a curated record.